This 436-nucleotide ribosomal RNA is filed under the name Berthelinia limax. Its description in RNAcentral is "partial 16S ribosomal RNA". It matches the Rfam family "Bacterial large subunit ribosomal RNA", at positions 1828 to 2601 of the family's 2925-position model. The record is from RNAcentral. Lineage: Eukaryota; Metazoa; Mollusca; Gastropoda; Juliidae.
AGCUUGAAGUUUUUAUUUUAGGUGACAUCUGCCCAGUGCUAUAAGUAAACGGCCGCAGUACCCUGACUGUGCUAAGGUAGCGUAAUCAGUUGGCUUUUAAAUGAAGUCGUGUAUGAACGGAUAAAUAGAGGCCAGCUGUCUCUUUUUAAAUUUAUUGAAUUUGUCUAUAAGGUGAAAAUGCCUUAAACUAGAAAAAGGACGAUAAGACCCUUGGAGUUUUUACUAAUGGGCCAUUUUGGUCUAAGGUUUUUGCUGGGGCGGCAAAGAGACAAUUUUAACUCUCUUUUAAAAUUUGCCGAAAUUUUUAAGAUAAGAUAAACUACCCGAGGGAUAACAGCAUUAUUUCUUAUGAAGUUUGUGACCUCGAUGUUGGACUAGGAAUUGUUUUGGCUAGCAGCCAAAACAAUAUGUUCUGUUCGAACUAUUAUUCCUACAU